This 292-nucleotide ribosomal RNA is filed under the name uncultured bacterium. RNAcentral describes it as "partial 16S ribosomal RNA". It matches the Rfam family "Bacterial small subunit ribosomal RNA", at positions 505 to 796 of the family's 1533-position model. The record is from RNAcentral.
GUGCCAGCAGCCGCGGUAAGACGGAGGGUGCAAGCGUUGUUCGGAUUGACUGGGCGUAAAGGGCGUGUAGGCGGUCGGUCAAGUUCGGUGUGAAAGCCCGGGGCUCAGCUCCGGAAGUGCAUCGGAAACUAGCCGACUCGAGCGCGAUAGAGGAGGGUGGAAUUCCUGGUGUAGCGGUGAAAUGCGUAGAUAUCAGGAGGAACACCGGCGGCGAAGGCGGCCCUCUGGGUCGUUGCUGACGCUGAGACGCGAAAGCGUGGGGAGCAAACAGGAUUAGAAACCCUGGUAGUCC